CUGGGCUGCAAGACGGUCACUUUGUCCGCACCGUUAGUUAAGACUUUGUCAGUUGAAAACCUUUCUGAACACAACUGUUAAGUCUAGACUUGGGGUUGGUGUCCAGGGUAUGAGGUGUUUGUUUGUUUUAGAUCAGCACAGGUGAGCUUGUUGCUUAGUGACAAAGACAAAAUGAACAGAAUGCUUUGUGAUGACAGUUGGACAUUUCAGACUCCUACAGUAAAGUCAGGAGGAAACUAUCUCAUCCCAACUAUGAUCCCACUACUGGACGGCAGAAAUGAAACCACACAGAAGCCACGUGACAACGGGCUGACGCUGGUGUGCAGCCUGGUAAAACAGCACCAUCUGCCACCCCAGUGAGAGCAAGCUGACCCUGGCUGCUCAGUGUUCCAGUCAAGAGCAGUUUUCACACUGUAGUAACUUGGAAAUGUGCAGCCGUGUCGACAGAGACAAGAAGCCAAAGUAACAGGAACCUCACUUUCAUGCAGCUAUCAGAACGCAACUGAAAUGAAGACAGUGACAGAUAAGAUACACACAUAAACAAGGUCUCACUGCUGGGAUUAGGCUCUGUUCCCACUCUUUUGGUACACAUAAAAGAUGUUAGCAGGAAAGUACUACUAAUGGAAACUAUGAGGACUACUGGCUCAGCCGCUCCUGUGAGAAGCUGUUCCAUUCUCCACCGCCCCCCAGCAAUGCACAGCCCCACCUUUUCCAGCGCUUCACGGACCACUCUCUCUGUUUCACGCUUGUGGUCUGACUUCAUCCUGUCUUUAAAGUCAUUAAAAAUUUUGGUGUACUUGUCGUGGCACAUGCUCUGA
Molecule: long non-coding RNA, 818 nt
Organism: Mastomys coucha (southern multimammate mouse)
Lineage: Eukaryota; Metazoa; Chordata; Mammalia; Rodentia; Muridae
Exons: 3
Source: RefSeq, a predicted model, not a curated record